Molecule: long non-coding RNA, 691 nt
Organism: Oncorhynchus tshawytscha (Chinook salmon)
Lineage: Eukaryota; Metazoa; Chordata; Actinopteri; Salmoniformes; Salmonidae
Source: Ensembl
UCAGUCUGACUAACCCAAUAGCGUAUGGCUCAAGAGGUUCAAUAAUAUAAUAACACCUACUAACCAACAGAUAAAGUGCCAACAAGGAAAAAGUGGUCUCUGCUGAACGCAGAAGGCUACAGUCAAAUUAUCCUAUAUUUGGCCCAAAUGACACCCUGUUCCCUAUAAAGUGCACUACUUUUGAACUGGUCAUUUAGGGUGCCAUUUGGGAUUUAGCCAGAAGGAUAUAAUAAUGUGUAUUACAUUCAUUUAAAUAAAUUUAACUAAAGACAACAGGUCUCUCCCUAGACCAGUUACUGGUUACAGACAACAGGUCUCUCCCUAGACUAGUUACUGGUUACAGACAACAGGUCUCUCCCUAGACUAGUUACUGGUUACAGACAACAGGUCUCUCCCUAGACUAGUUACUGGUUACAGACAACAGGUCUCUCCCUAGACUAGUUACUGGUUACAGACAACAGGUCUCUCCCUAGACUAGUUAUAGGUUACAGACAACAGGUCUCUCCCUAGACUAGUUAUAGGUUACAGACAACAGACUGCAACGCAGGGCUUGGGUCAAGAGAAGUGUUGUGUAGGAUGCCGUUUGAGGUGUGGCACUAUGGAAAGCAGCGUCUGGGAGGUCAAGGGUCAAAGACCACCCAGGCAGAGGUCAAGGGUGGGUGACCUCACUCUCUUUAACAGUACUCAACAU